Molecule: long non-coding RNA, 1790 nt
Organism: Pygocentrus nattereri (red-bellied piranha)
Lineage: Eukaryota; Metazoa; Chordata; Actinopteri; Characiformes; Serrasalmidae
Source: Ensembl
AUUUCACACACUGUGCUCUACCAAAUCUAGUUGGAGAGGCCUAAUUACUUUUAUUACUGACAGUAUCUGCAAUAUGCUCCGAAAAAUUAUAUGGUAACAUUAAAUGUUUUGACAUCUAUUUUUUUCUUUUCACAGACCUUUCAGAUCCCUCCUCACAUCCAUCUAUCUCUCUAUCCUUUAUAGCGACCCAACGGCACUUUUAAGAGCCACUCGUCUGUCUGUCUAUCCAUACAUCCGUUUAUAAUCUGAUUAUAGAUAAUCAAUUUGUCUAUCUACCUAUCUGUUUGUCUAUCUAUAUAUCUAUCUGUCUAUCUCUCUAUCUACUUACCUACCUACCUCUCUGUCGUUCUACCUUUUUGGCUUUCUUUCUGGCUGUUCAUCUGUCUGUCUGGCUGACUGGAUACCAUGCCAGGUUCAACCCAAAAGACCUGCCAGUCAUGCAAGGCACAAAUAAAUGUUGGCUGUAAACACUGCAAGCUGUGUGGGGCUUCUCAGCCCCAGAAAGUGAAAUUGCAGCAGGCCAAAGACAAAGCAUCAAAGGAAUGGGCCCAAAAAAUGUUGAAUGGAAGAAACACCUCAAAGCUGAUAAAUUCCACCAAUCUUCUACUCCACAAGUUUCACAUGUUGGGUUAUUACCCCCUUCUUCUUCUUGGGAGGAGGAAGACGAGGCAGGCCACAAAUUUUAGGGCAGAUGUUUUUUAUCCUCAGCAGUUUUCUUCAGAAAUGGAGAGGACAUCAAUUUCUACAAUUCGUUUGCUGUAUGAAGGUCUUCUAAAAGUGGCUCUUAAUCCAGAAGCCAACCCCAACUCUUCAAAUGCUCCUGAGACCAACACCAGCUCUGCCCAUACUCCUGAGACCAACACCAGCUUUUCACAUGCUCCUGAGACCAACUUCAGCUGUUCAGAUGGUCCUACAGAGAACCCCAGCUCUUCAGUUGCUCCCCUUCAUACUGAACCUACAUACACCUUAAUUCUUACUCCUGUUACAUCUGAAAAGGAAAAUUCCACAGUGGUUCUUAAUCUGGAAGUCAACCCCAGCUCUUCAGAUGAUCCUGAGACCAGCCCCAUCUGUUCAGAUGCUCCUGAGACCAGCCCCUUCUCUUCAGAUGGUCCUGAGGCUAGCCCCAGCUUUUCAGCUCCUCCUGAGCCCCGCAGCAGCUCUUUAGAUGAACUCAAUCCAAUUCUCUCCCCUGUUACAUCUGGAAAUGGGAAUUCCACAGACAAGUACCCCUGCAAGAAAAGAACACAAGAAGUAACACCAAAUGUGUCCAGCUCGACAUUUAAUCGUACUUUUCCCUGCAAGAAAAGAAGAAUAAAGAUCAACCCAAGUGAAUGCCCUGUCCACACUAUGGCUGACACCUACCCAGUCCAAAAAAUUUUAUCACAGAGGGUAUCAAAAGAGGGCACAAAAGAGGUCAAAGUCCGUUGGCAGCAGUGUUCUGGGUGGUAUGUGAACUUUGUCAUUUGUGAUUUAAUUCUGAAAUUAAAAUGUGAAAGUUUAUGUACUUACAUAAGCAAGUCACUGCGGAGGAUAGAGAGGAUUACAAGGCUCAUUUCUAUUCACACUCCGAUUUAUAAGAAUGUAUUUUACGUAAUGUGAUGCCUUAUAUUUUGUUUUCUUUUUUUGCAGUGGCAUCAAGUGGAAAGACACAUGGGAGCCUUUCAACGAGAUAUUCCCGUAGUAAUGAUUUGAAAUAAUACUCUAAAUUAUUCAUUUUGGAAUUUUGAUGUUUAGCAUAACUAUUUCUAGGUGAUGUGUUAUUUAUUCAUCAUUACCCUUGUCAUUCAUAA